Molecule: RNase P RNA, 335 nt
Filed under: human gut metagenome
Description: Bacterial RNase P class A
Rfam family: Bacterial RNase P class A
About the family: Ribonuclease P (RNase P) is a ubiquitous endoribonuclease, found in archaea, bacteria and eukarya as well as chloroplasts and mitochondria. Its best characterised activity is the generation of mature 5'-ends of tRNAs by cleaving the 5'-leader elements of precursor-tRNAs.
Source: RNAcentral
UCGGACAGUCGCGUGGUUUUUGCCAUGAGGAAAGUCCGGGCUCCGCAGGGCAAGGAUGCCGGAUAACGUCCGGCGUAGGUAACUAUAGGGAAAGUGCAACAGAAACAUUCCGCCGAACGGGCGAUUUUUCGCUGCGUGGUAAGGUUGAAAUGGUGAGGUAAGAGCUCACCGGCGGUAUGGUAACAUACCGGCCGUGUAAACCCCAUCCGGAGCAAGACCAAGAUAGGGCUUAAAAGGCGGCGGCCCGUCGCUGCCCGGGAGGUAGGUCGCAUGAGCAUAUCAGCAAUGUUAUGCCUAGAUAGAUGACUGUCUAUUACAGAACCCGGCUUAUAGAA